CUGACUUUGAAGAGCACAGGGCCAGCAUAGCUUAUCUAUAUCAUGGCUGUAAGACGUGGCUUUAAUCUUCACGCAGGACUGCAGGCUAUCAUCUCUGAGGGAGGGGAAGUGAGAGAGAGUACAUCUCAAACACUGUCAUCUUGCGCUCAAACGCCAAAACAUCCUCCAGCAUCUGCAGGGCAGUGCUUCCUUUUCCCUGGAGACUUUUGUUCAGCGUGUUAAGGUGACCUGUCAUAUCCAUUAUAAAGUGCAGCUUUUCCUGCCAAUCUGGAUGUUCCAGGUUGGGAUGGGUGAGGCUUCUGCCAGACACGCAGCAAACCGUUUCAGCACUUCUCCCCUGGACAGCCACCGGACUUUGUUCUGCAGCAGGAGAUCAGAAUAUGCGAUGUCGACUAUGGCUGUGUAUUAGCAAGAAUCUGGCAAUGCGAUACGUAUACCGAUACAGGGGUUUUGAUUCAAUAUAUUGUGAUAUAUUAGGAUACUGUAAUCAAGUCAAUAUAUUGCGAUUUUUAAAAUCUAUUUUCAGUCCAAUCUGAGUAAAAAAAGUUUACUUCAGGUGAAAAAUAAAGUUAUUAAAAAAUGUAAAGUGUGUUACACAUAAACAUGCAGACUGUAUAGUCACUGUAACAUCCAAAACAACAAAACACUUGCUGUGAAAUCUCACAAAAAAGGAAUUACAUCUGCCUGUAUCAAUGAAAAUAAAAGUGAGCAAGUGAACUCUUUCAGCCGAGCUGAGAGAUUCCAGCGCCCUUGUUUUCACCUCAUUGUACAACUUUGGCACAGUGAUGUUAAUGUUACUGGGAGGGUAUAGCAUAAAGAUGCUCCAUUUUGUGCACCAUAUUACGGAAGCCUUCGUUCUCUACAAAAGCUGAGAGGGCGAAUAUCUUUGCAAGUGAAGAAAAGUAUUGACUGAGUUAUUUUGGUUGCACGAGUUGAGGUGAUGGUAACUUCGGUGAGUUAAUUUGGUCCAGAGAGAGAUGAGACUGAUCGUCUCGUUUAGCGUUGGCCGUUUGCUGUGUGAGUGUUUUAUUUUGGCAUGGCACAUUUUGCAAACGGCAUGGCUCUGUAUGCCGGGGGAGCCAGUCUAAUGUUUUUUGAUGCAGCCAUGGUCAACCAUGGUUAGCAACAACAUCUCUGUUAGCGCCGAAGUGUUUUUUUUUGUGUUACUUCCGGUCCCAGUUCACGUUGUUGCGUUGUAGUGAAAUGGCUGCACACUGCCAUCUAACGGUCGGCGUUACAACACAAAAUGAACCUCUGCUUGCCAUGAAUCUUUGCACGAGAAGUAAUAAUAAAAAAUCAAUAUAGUGUUUUUGAGAAUCGAUACAGUAUCAAAAACAUGAUAUCACGAUAUUAUAGUGAAACAGCUGCAGCUGUCUGAUUGAUUUUAUUGUUUGUACAGACACCAUUACAGUCAUCAGGUUGACUGAAGAUAAAGUCCUUUUCCUCAAUAUGUUCUUAAGGUGGUAGUGGGAUCACUUUGAAACCAUGGUAAUAUGGUUGUUGAAGUUAAGUCUAAGGCGCAAUCAUCCACCAUUUCAUAUCACCCCUUGCCCCUACCCCUUGGUUUUGCAUGUUCACGUGUAGGGGUAGGGGUUUCUCACACCCCUACUGAACAGAAUUGUCGGGGGUUUAAUCCUUUUGCCUAUAUUUUGUUCACAAUCUGAAUUACGAGGUUCAUCACGUCCAUGUAUUCGGGGGGAAAUGUUUGAGCACACAGUGCUUCUUGGUGCAGGAUGCAGUGAAACAUCAGCAGCUUUAGAUCCAGUGACUUCUGAAGUAAAGUCACAAACCCCUUCUGUGCUCCUCUCAUACUAGGUGGCUUUUAAACAAUUCACCCCAGCAUCACAAAUGUCCUCCCCCCGUGUUUGGCCUUUUAUCAGUAUCAACUCAAUGAUUUUUUCCUGCCGACCAUCAGAGUUCACAUAUCUGCAUAACAGCGCUGUCUCCUCAAUAUCGUUAACAUCACUUGACUCAUCACAGGUGAUUGGGUAUGCUGGAGCUGAAUUAAUGUCCUCAAUUUGUUGACUGGUGAUGUUUGCUGCCAUCUUAAUGGUCCUGUCCUUGACGGUCUUUGCAGAGAGAGGCACAGCUCUAAUUCUCUGAACUCAAGAUUAGCCACCUAAAGGCGGAAGGUAUAGAGGCGGGGGUCUGUUGUCAUGUAUGAGUGGCAUAUAACUCCUGUUGUGAAUGGGGCAGUGCAUGAAGUUGAGCGAGAAAGAGAGAGUGGAGCAAAUCAAGUAAAAGUUUCAGUUGAUGUUCGAUAAUAAAUGCAGCAACAACUCGGUUCAGAAGUCUCUGUGUGUCUGUUCACCGCACUGUUGGGGGAAAAGA
Long non-coding RNA from Scophthalmus maximus (turbot), 2331 nucleotides. RefSeq lists it as uncharacterized. The record is from RefSeq and is a predicted model, not a curated record. NCBI's taxonomy places the organism in Eukaryota, Metazoa, Chordata, Actinopteri, Pleuronectiformes, Scophthalmidae. The transcript is spliced from 3 exons.